CUGAGUUGCAAAACUCCCAAACCCACGCGUACCUACCUAUGUCGUUGCUUCGGCGGCGCCGUCCCCAGGUGCUCCGGCACCGCGGGGCGCCCGCCGGAGGUUCUAAACUCUCUGUAUCAUUGUGGACUCUCUGAGAAAACAUACCAAUAAUCA
This 153-nucleotide unclassified non-coding RNA is filed under the name uncultured Pleurostoma. RNAcentral's name for it is "sequence contains ITS1". Lineage: Eukaryota; Fungi; Ascomycota; Sordariomycetes; Calosphaeriales; Pleurostomataceae. The record is from RNAcentral.